This 75-nucleotide transfer RNA is filed under the name Caudoviricetes sp. Its description in RNAcentral is "tRNA-Thr". It matches the Rfam family "tRNA". Rfam says of the family: Transfer RNA (tRNA) molecules are approximately 80 nucleotides in length. Their secondary structure includes four short double-helical elements and three loops (D, anti-codon, and T loops). Further hydrogen bonds mediate the characteristic L-shaped molecular structure. tRNAs have two regions of fundamental functional importance: the anti-codon, which is responsible for specific mRNA codon recognition, and the 3' end, to which the tRNAs corresponding amino acid is attached (by aminoacyl-tRNA synthetases). tRNAs cope with the degeneracy of the genetic code in two manners: having more than one tRNA (with a specific anti-codon) for a particular amino acid; and 'wobble' base-pairing, i.e. permitting non-standard base-pairing at the 3rd anti-codon position. The record is from RNAcentral. Lineage: Duplodnaviria; Heunggongvirae; Uroviricota; Caudoviricetes.
GCUAACAUAGCUCAAUGGUAGAGCAAUUGCUUUGUAAGCAAUAGGUUUACGGUUCAAGUCCGUAUGUUAGCUCCA